Molecule: ribosomal RNA, 253 nt
Filed under: uncultured bacterium
Lineage: Bacteria
Description: partial 16S ribosomal RNA
Rfam family: Bacterial small subunit ribosomal RNA
Source: RNAcentral
UACGUAGGUGGCAAGCGUUAUCCGGAAUUAUUGGGCGUAAAGCGCGCGUAGGCGGUUUUUUAAGUCUGAUGUGAAAGCCCACGGCUUAACCGGGGAGGGUCAUUGGAAACUGGAGGACUUGAGUGCAGAAGAGGAGAGUGGAAUUCCACGUGGAGCGGUGAAAUGCGUAGAGAUGUGGAGGAACACCAGUGGCGAAGGCGACUCUCUGGUCUGUAACUGACGCUGAGGCGCGAAAGCGUGGGGAGCGAACAGG